AUAUCAGUCAUGCAUAGCAUAUCAAUAAGCGGAGGAAAAGAAACUAACAAGGAUUCCCUUAGUAACGGCGAGUGAAGCGGGAAGAGCUCAAAUUUGAAAUCUUCAAGGUUUUACCUUGACGAAUUGUAGUUUAAAGAAGUGUUUUCUGUUGAAGUUUUGGUAAAAGUUCUUUGGAAUAGGACAUCAUAGAGGGUGAGAAUCCCGUAUUUGACCAUUACUUUCAGCUUUGUGAUACACUUUCAAAGAGUCGGAUUGUUUGGGAAUGCAGUCCAAAAUGGGUGGUAAAUUUCAUCUAAAGCUAAAUAUUGGCGAGAGACCGAUAGCGAACAAGUACCGUGUAGGGAAAGAUGAAAAGAACUUUGAAAAGAGAGUUAAACAGUACGUGAAAUUGUCAAAGGGGAAGCGUUUGACACCAGUGUUGUUUUCUCGAAAAUCAAUUAAAAAGAGUUGGAUUUUGUGUUGUAUUGACUUUAUCAGCUUUCUUCACUCUUUUCCAGCUUUUUUUAAUGCACUUUUCGUUUAACAAGUCAACAUCAGUUUCUUUUGUUGUAAAAAGGUCAUUGGAAGGUGGCUUUCUCUUCGGAGAAAGUGUUUAUAGCCUUUGACUCAUGCAAUCGGAGAGACUGAGGUCUGCAGCGUAGAUCCUUCGGGGUUAGAUACAUUUGUGCUAAGUUAUAGCUUUUCAUAGACAACUUGUUGACUAUGUUUAGUCUUGUAGCUUACUCGCUUAUGCUAUUUUACCUACGCUUAGGAUGUUGAACUCUAUCACACACAG
This 775-nucleotide ribosomal RNA is filed under the name uncultured Neocallimastigales. Its description in RNAcentral is "partial large subunit ribosomal RNA". It matches the Rfam family "Eukaryotic large subunit ribosomal RNA", at positions 22 to 621 of the family's 3401-position model. The record is from RNAcentral. Lineage: Eukaryota; Fungi; Neocallimastigomycota; Neocallimastigomycetes; Neocallimastigales.